This 1531-nucleotide ribosomal RNA is filed under the name Klebsiella pneumoniae. Its description in RNAcentral is "bacterial SSU rRNA". It matches the Rfam family "Bacterial small subunit ribosomal RNA". Lineage: Bacteria; Pseudomonadati; Pseudomonadota; Gammaproteobacteria; Enterobacterales; Enterobacteriaceae. The record is from RNAcentral.
AGAGUUUGAUCAUGGCUCAGAUUGAACGCUGGCGGCAGGCCUAACACAUGCAAGUCGAGCGGUAGCACAGAGAGCUUGCUCUCGGGUGACGAGCGGCGGACGGGUGAGUAAUGUCUGGGAAACUGCCUGAUGGAGGGGGGAUAACUACUGGAAACGGUAGCUAAUACCGCAUAACGUCGCAAGACCAAAGUGGGGGACCUUCGGGCCUCAUGCCAUCAGAUGUGCCCAGAUGGGAUUAGCUAGUAGGUGGGGUAACGGCUCACCUAGGCGACGAUCCCUAGCUGGUCUGAGAGGAUGACCAGCCACACUGGAACUGAGACACGGUCCAGACUCCUACGGGAGGCAGCAGUGGGGAAUAUUGCACAAUGGGCGCAAGCCUGAUGCAGCCAUGCCGCGUGUGUGAAGAAGGCCUUCGGGUUGUAAAGCACUUUCAGCGGGGAGGAAGGCGAUAAGGUUAAUAACCUUGUCGAUUGACGUUACCCGCAGAAGAAGCACCGGCUAACUCCGUGCCAGCAGCCGCGGUAAUACGGAGGGUGCAAGCGUUAAUCGGAAUUACUGGGCGUAAAGCGCACGCAGGCGGUCUGUCAAGUCGGAUGUGAAAUCCCCGGGCUCAACCUGGGAACUGCAUUCGAAACUGGCAGGCUAGAGUCUUGUAGAGGGGGGGUAGAAUUCCAGGUGUAGCGGUGAAAUGCGUAGAGAUCUGGAGGAAUACCGGUGGCGAAGGCGGCCCCCUGGACAAAGACUGACGCUCAGGUGCGAAAGCGUGGGGAGCAAACAGGAUUAGAUACCCUGGUAGUCCACGCCGUAAACGAUGUCGAUUUGGAGGUUGUGCCCUUGAGGCGUGGCUUCCGGAGCUAACGCGUUAAAUCGACCGCCUGGGGAGUACGGCCGCAAGGUUAAAACUCAAAUGAAUUGACGGGGGGCCCGCACAAGCGGUGGAGCAUGUGGUUUAAUUCGAUGCAACGCGAAGAACCUUACCUGGUCUUGACAUCCACAGAACUUUCCAGAGAUGGAUUGGUGCCUUCGGGAACUGUGAGACAGGUGCUGCAUGGCUGUCGUCAGCUCGUGUUGUGAAAUGUUGGGUUAAGUCCCGCAACGAGCGCAACCCUUAUCCUUUGUUGCCAGCGGUUCGGCCGGGAACUCAAAGGAGACUGCCAGUGAUAAACUGGAGGAAGGUGGGGAUGACGUCAAGUCAUCAUGGCCCUUACGACCAGGGCUACACACGUGCUACAAUGGCAUAUACAAAGAGAAGCGACCUCGCGAGAGCAAGCGGACCUCAUAAAGUAUGUCGUAGUCCGGAUUGGAGUCUGCAACUCGACUCCAUGAAGUCGGAAUCGCUAGUAAUCGUAGAUCAGAAUGCUACGGUGAAUACGUUCCCGGGCCUUGUACACACCGCCCGUCACACCAUGGGAGUGGGUUGCAAAAGAAGUAGGUAGCUUAACCUUCGGGAGGGCGCUUACCACUUUGUGAUUCAUGACUGGGGUGAAGUCGUAACAAGGUAACCGUAGGGGAACCUGCGGUUGGAUCACCU